Molecule: ribosomal RNA, 503 nt
Filed under: uncultured bacterium
Lineage: Bacteria
Description: partial 16S ribosomal RNA
Rfam family: Bacterial small subunit ribosomal RNA
Source: RNAcentral
AUUGAACGCUGGCGGCAGGCUUAACUCAUGCAAGUCGAGCGGGGGGAGGUAGCUUGCUACCGGACCUAGCGGCGGACGGGUGAGUAAUGCUUAGGAAUCUGCCUAUUAGUGGGGGACAACAUCUCGAAAGGGAUGCUAAUACCGCAUACGUCCUACGGGAGAAAGCAGGGGAUCACUUGUGACCUUGCGCUAAUAGAUGAGCCUAAGUCGGAUUAGCUAGUUGGUGGGGUAAAGGCCUACCAAGGCGACGAUCUGUAGCGGGUCUGAGAGGAUGAUCCGGCACACUGGGACUGAAACACGGCCCAGACUCCUCCGGGAGGCAGCAGUGGGGAAUAUUGGACAAUGGGGGGAACCCUGAUCCAGCCAUGCCGCGUGUGUGAAGAAGGCCUUAUGGUUGUAAAGCACUUUAAGCGAGGAGGAGGCUCUUUUGGUUAAUACCCAAGAUGAGUGGACGUUACUCGCAGAAUAAGCACCGGCUAACCCUGUGCCAGCCGCCGCAGUAA